CCCCCGNAGACGAACGCUGGCGGCGUGCCUAAUACAUGCAAGUCGAACGCUUCUUUCCUCCCGAGUGCUUGCACUCAAUUGGAAAGAGGAGUGGCGGACGGGUGAGUAACACGUGGGUAACCUACCCAUCAGAGGGGGAUAACACUUGGAAACAGGUGCUAAUACCGCAUAACAGUUUAUGCCGCAUGGCAUAAGAGUGAAAGGCGCUUUCGGGUGUCGCUGAUGGAUGGACCCGCGGUGCAUUAGCUAGUUGGUGAGGUAACGGCUCACCAAGGCCACGAUGCAUAGCCGACCUGAGAGGGUGAUCGGCCACACUGGGACUGAGACACGGCCCAGACUCCUACGGGAGGCAGCAGUAGGGAAUCUUCGGCAAUGGACGAAAGUCUGACCGAGCAACGCCGCGUGAGUGAAGAAGGUUUUCGGAUCGUAAAACUCUGUUGUUAGAGAAGAACAAGGACGUUAGUAACUGAACGUCCCCUGACGGUAUCUAACCAGAAAGCCACGGCUAACUACGUGCCAGCAGCCGCGGUAAUACGUAGGUGGCAAGCGUUGUCCGGAUUUAUUGGGCGUAAAGCGAGCGCAGGCGGUUUCUUAAGUCUGAUGUGAAAGCCCCCGGCUCAACCGGGGAGGGUCAUUGGAAACUGGGAGACUUGAGUGCAGAAGAGGAG
RNAcentral lists this ribosomal RNA (668 nucleotides) under Enterococcus faecalis. RNAcentral's name for it is "bacterial SSU rRNA". It matches the Rfam family "Bacterial small subunit ribosomal RNA", at positions 20 to 659 of the family's 1533-position model. The record is from RNAcentral. Lineage: Bacteria; Bacillati; Bacillota; Bacilli; Lactobacillales; Enterococcaceae.